This is a small RNA of Flavobacterium sp. FPG59, 78 nucleotides long. It matches the Rfam family "Flavo-1 RNA". The record is from Rfam. NCBI's taxonomy places the organism in Bacteria, Pseudomonadati, Bacteroidota, Flavobacteriia, Flavobacteriales, Flavobacteriaceae.
UUGCGUUCGUGAUAGAAGCGGCAUCCUUUUCUUGCUUUCUUUAAGCAAGAAAAGAUAGAGCGCAUAGCACGGAAAAAC